RNAcentral lists this ribosomal RNA (295 nucleotides) under Dermacentor nitens. RNAcentral describes it as "partial 12S ribosomal RNA". The record is from RNAcentral. Lineage: Eukaryota; Metazoa; Arthropoda; Arachnida; Ixodida; Ixodidae.
AUUAUUAUGAAGCUUAACAUUGUAAGUAAAUAUUGAUUAUAAAAGCAAAAAAUUAUGGCGGUAUCUUAAGCUUUUCAGAGGAAUUUGCUCUUUAAUGGAUAAAACACCUAAAUCUUACUUUGAUUAGUUAAAUCAAUUUGUAUACCACUAUUAAAAUAAUAAUACACAAUUAUUAUUAGAAUAUAAAACAUAUAAAAAAUUAAGUCAAGGUGCAGUAAAAAUCAAAGAAUGAAGUGAAUUACAUUUCUUUUUAGAAAAAAAAAUAUGAAAUUUAAUUUAGGAUUUGAAAGUAAAA